Molecule: transfer RNA, 86 nt
Filed under: Candidatus Micrarchaeota archaeon CG1_02_49_24
Lineage: Archaea; Nanobdellati; Microcaldota
Also listed under: 3 other names
Description: tRNA-Leu
Rfam family: tRNA
About the family: Transfer RNA (tRNA) molecules are approximately 80 nucleotides in length. Their secondary structure includes four short double-helical elements and three loops (D, anti-codon, and T loops).
Source: RNAcentral
GCGGGGGUGGCAGAGCCUGGCCAAAUGCGUAGGACUGAGGCUCCUAUGGUAUAGCACCUGCAAGGGUUCAAAUCCCUUCCCCCGCA